RNAcentral lists this ribosomal RNA (468 nucleotides) under uncultured bacterium. Its description in RNAcentral is "partial 16S ribosomal RNA". It matches the Rfam family "Bacterial small subunit ribosomal RNA", at positions 28 to 507 of the family's 1533-position model. The record is from RNAcentral.
GACGAACGCUGGCGGCGUGCUUAACACAUGCAAGUCGAACGGAAAGGCCCUGCUUUUGUGGGGUGCUCGAGUGGCGAACGGGUGAGUAACACGUGAGUAACCUGCCCUUGACUUUGGGAUAACUUCAGGAAACUGGGGCUAAUACCGGAUAGGAGCUCCUGCUGCAUGGUGGGGGUUGGAAAGUUUCGGCGGUUGGGGAUGGACUCGCGGCUUAUCAGCUUGUUGGUGGGGUAGUGGCUUACCAAGGCUUUGACGGGUAGCCGGCCUGAGAGGGUGACCGGCCACAUUGGGACUGAGAUACGGCCCAGACUCCUACGGGAGGCAGCAGUGGGGAAUAUUGCACAAUGGGCGGAAGCCUGAUGCAGCAACGCCGCGUGCGGGAUGGCGGCUUUCGGGUUGUAAACCGCUUUCGCCUGUGACGAAGCGUGAGUGACGGUAAUGGGUAAAGAAGCACCGGCUAACUACGUG